RNAcentral lists this small nuclear RNA (23 nucleotides) under Arabidopsis thaliana (thale cress). RNAcentral describes it as "snRNA_14940". Lineage: Eukaryota; Viridiplantae; Streptophyta; Magnoliopsida; Brassicales; Brassicaceae. The record is from RNAcentral.
AGAGGAUGAUCUAAGAACUCGUU